GCACGCCACCACAAAUGGCUCCUCUGCCACCUAACCAAUGGCAGCACUCCACUUCGUUCCCCCAAGUGCUACAAUCUAUUGGCAGCACUGAGACCCUGGCUAGCUGCCACAGAGACUUAGUCCGGGCAGCCCCUCUCUCCCAGUGAGCUUUCCUAGGUCCCCACCAUGGCUCAGGCACAGCGACCAAGUAUCUGCUUUUCCGGGGCAGAGUGGGUGUGGUGAGAUGACAGCCCCGGUGGGGGGUGCCUUGCUCUUUAUUUAUGGCUCUGUGACACUUUUAAAGUGCUGAAUGUUCCUAAAGGCUGGUAAAUUCUUUCCCCAAUCCUACAGAGACAGGGACGUGGGGGCAGGAAGACAGGUGGGGGCAGGAAUUGGAAUCUACAUGGACCAUAAUUGCCUCAAGUUUGUGAACUGUUAGUUUAAAAAUACUCUUGGAGACUUUAAUGGCUGAAUGAAAAUUCACACUCAUUAAACACCAUGGUCGAAGGGGGGGAUAUUCAGCCUGUGUUAUAUGAAUAACUUCACAGCUUGAAGUUCAGAAGAGAAAAUGGCAGUACACACAGCAGAAGGGUGUGGGAAGAGACUAGUCUGCUGAAUAAAAACACGGGAAGAAGCUGAGGUUCAGAGAGGGUGAAUACUUUGUCCAAGGUCAAAUGGCUGCUAAGAGGCAAGCUGCAGGUCGGAACCCUGGGAAGCUUGACUCAGAAGCUCCUACCCACUCUAUCCAUCAUUCUGCUUAAUGGGCAGUGAACCUAGAAUUAUCCAAACUAAAGUCCCCUGAACUAACCAAAGUAUGUCAAGCAGAUCAAUACUUGGAUUUUUAAAGCCUGACUGCUUGAUUCCUUUAAGGCACUAACUUGCAAAUCCAUGUUAAAGAUUCUGUAUCUCAAUGUUGCCAGAGGCUCUUGGAACCAU
Long non-coding RNA from Felis catus (domestic cat), 915 nucleotides. RefSeq lists it as uncharacterized. The transcript has 3 exons. NCBI's taxonomy places the organism in Eukaryota, Metazoa, Chordata, Mammalia, Carnivora, Felidae. The record is from RefSeq and is a predicted model, not a curated record.